UAAACGACUCUCGGCAACGGAUAUCUCGGCUCACGCAUCGAUGAAGAACGUAGCAAAAUGCGAUACUUGGUGUGAAUUGCAGAAUCCCGUGAAUCAUCGAGUUUUUGAACGCAAGUUGCGCCCGAAGCCUUCUGGCUGAGGGCACGCCUGCCUGGGCGUCACGC
Molecule: ribosomal RNA, 164 nt
Filed under: Bidens schimperi
Lineage: Eukaryota; Viridiplantae; Streptophyta; Magnoliopsida; Asterales; Asteraceae
Description: 5.8S ribosomal RNA
Rfam family: 5.8S ribosomal RNA
About the family: 5.8S ribosomal RNA (5.8S rRNA) is a component of the large subunit of the eukaryotic ribosome.
Source: RNAcentral